UGCAAGUCGAACGGGUUGUACUUCGGUACAGCUAGUGGCGGACGGGUGAGUAACACAUAGGAAUCUGCCCGAGAGUGGGGGAUAACCCAGGGAAACUUGGAUUAAUACCGCAUGAUCUCUACGGAGCAAAGCUGGGGACCUUCGGGCCUGGCGCUUUUGGAGGAGCCUAUGUCUGAUUAGCUUGUUGGUGAGGUAACGGCUCACCAAGGCGACGAUCAGUAACUGGUCUGAGAGGACGACCAGUCACACCGGAACUGAGACACGGUCCGGACUCCUACGGGAGGCAGCAGUGGGGAAUAUUGGACAAUGGGCGAAAGCCUGAUCCAGCAAUGCCGCGUGUGUGAAGAAGGCCUUCGGGUUGUAAAGCACUUUAGGAUGGAAAGAAAAAACUUCAGUUAAUAGCUGAAGUCUUGACGGUACCAUCAGAAUAAGCACCGGCUAGCUCUGUGCCAGCAGCCGCGGUAAUACAGAGGGUGCAAGCGUUAAUCGGAUUUACUGGGCGUAAAGCGUGUGUAGGUGGUGGCGUAAGUCGAUCGUGAAAUCCCCGGGCUCAACCUGGGAACUGCUUUCGAUACUGCGUCACUAGAGUACGGUAGAGGGUGGUGGAAUUUCCGGUGUAGCGGUGAAAUGCGUAGAUAUCGGAAGGAACAUCAAUGGCGAAGGCAACCACCUGGGCCUGUACUGACACUGAGACACGAAAGCGUGGGGAUCAAACAGGAUUAGAUACCCUGGUAGUCCACGCCGUAAACGAUGACAACUUGACGUUGGUUUGCUUAGCGAAUCAGUGUCGUAGCUAACGCGAUAAGUUGUCCGCCUGGGGGAGUACGCCGCAAGGUUGAAACUCAAGGAAUUGACGGGGGCCCGCCACAGCGGUGGAGUUAUGGUGGAUUAAUUCGAUGCAACGCGAAGACCUUACCUGGCCUUGAACAUGUCCGGAAUCCUGCAAAGAUGCGGGAGUGCCUCGGGAUCGAACACAGUGCCUGCAUGCUUGUUCGUCCAGCUCGUGUCUGGAAAUGUUGGUUAAGUCCGCACCGAGCCACCCAUUGUUCUUAGUUGCA
RNAcentral lists this ribosomal RNA (1058 nucleotides) under uncultured bacterium. Its description in RNAcentral is "bacterial SSU rRNA". It matches the Rfam family "Bacterial small subunit ribosomal RNA", at positions 56 to 1119 of the family's 1533-position model. The record is from RNAcentral.